Molecule: ribosomal RNA, 495 nt
Filed under: uncultured bacterium
Lineage: Bacteria
Description: partial 16S ribosomal RNA
Rfam family: Bacterial small subunit ribosomal RNA
Source: RNAcentral
GACGAACGCUGGCGGCGUGCCUAAUACAUGCAAGUCGAACGCUGAAGGAGGAUCUUGCUUCUCUGGAUGAGUUGCGAACGGGUGAGUAACGCGUAGGUAACCUGCCUGGUAGCGGGGGAUAACUAUUGGAAACGAUAGCUAAUACCGCAUAAGAGUAGAUGUUGCAUGACAUUUGCUUAAAAGGUGCAAUUUCAUCACUACCAGAUGGACCUGCGUUGUAUUAGCUAGUUGGUGGGGUAACGGCUCACCAAGGCGACCAUACAUAGCCGACCUGGGAGGGGGAUAGGCCACACGGGGGCGGGGACACGGCCAAGACUACUACGAGAGGGAGCAGAAGGGAAUCUGAGGCAAUGGACGGAAGUAUGGCCGAACAACGCCGCGUGAGUGAAGAAGGUUUUGGGAUCGGAAAGAUCUGUUGUAAGAGAAGAACGAGUGUGAGAGUGGAAAGUGCACACUGUGACGGUAUCUGAACAGAAAGGGACGGCUAACUACGUG